UACGGGGGGGCAAGCGUUGUUCGGAAUUACUGGGCGUAAAGGGCUCGUAGGCGGCCAACUAAGUCGGACGUGCAAGCCCUCGGCUUAACCGAGGAACUGCGUCCGAUACUGGAUGGCUUGAGGUUGGGAGAGGGAUGCGGAAUUCCAGGUGUAGCGGUGAAAUGCGUAGAUAUCUGGAGGAACACCGGUGGCGAAGGCGGCAUCCUGGACCAAUUCUGACGCUGAGUGAGCGAAAGCCAGGGGAGCAAACGGG
RNAcentral lists this ribosomal RNA (253 nucleotides) under uncultured bacterium. Its description in RNAcentral is "partial 16S ribosomal RNA". It matches the Rfam family "Bacterial small subunit ribosomal RNA", at positions 524 to 776 of the family's 1533-position model. The record is from RNAcentral.